RNAcentral lists this ribosomal RNA (530 nucleotides) under uncultured bacterium. RNAcentral's name for it is "bacterial SSU rRNA". It matches the Rfam family "Bacterial small subunit ribosomal RNA", at positions 235 to 770 of the family's 1533-position model. The record is from RNAcentral.
GCCCGAUUAGCUUGUUGGCGAGGUAACGGCUCACCAAGGCAAUGAUCGGUAGCUGGUCUGAGAGGAUGAUCAGCCACACUGGAACUGAGACACGGUCCAGACUCCUACGGGAGGCAGCAGUGGGGAAUCUUGCACAAUGGGCGAAAGCCUGAUGCAGCGACGCCGCGUGGGGGAUGAAGCUUCUCGGAGUGUAAACCCCUUUCGCCUGGGACGAAUGCCCGCAAGGGAGUGACGGUACCAGGAUAAGAAGCCCCGGCUAACUACGUGCCAGCAGCCGCGGUAAGACGUAGGGGGCCAGCGUUGUUCGGAAUUACUGGGUGUAAAGGGUUCGUAGGCGGUGUGGCAAGUUGGGAGUGAAAUCUCUGGGCUCAACCCAGAGGCUGCUUCCAAAACUGCUGUGCUUGAGUGUGAGAGAGGCUCGUGGAAUUGCAGGUGUAGCGGUGAAAUGCGUAGAUAUCUGCAGGAACACCCGUGGCGAAAGCGGCGAGCUGGAUCACUACUGACGCUGAGGAACGAAAGCUAGGGGAGCA